Molecule: long non-coding RNA, 1241 nt
Filed under: Struthio camelus australis
Lineage: Eukaryota; Metazoa; Chordata; Aves; Struthioniformes; Struthionidae
Description: lncRNA (ENSSCUG00000007286.1)
Source: RNAcentral
GUUAUUUUUUUUAAAAGCACCCAAGAGGGCUUCCUCUUCCUCCUCUGUGCCCGUGUGCAUUCAGUAUUUAUUUUUGUACUCCUUUGUUACUGAUAAUAGGAAUUGCAGAUCGGUAGAGACCUAACCCCCAUGUGCAGAGCACCCAGGUCCCAGAGCAGCGAUUCUGUCCCAUUUGCUGCAUAGACAACUGGACUAUAAGUCAUUACCAGUGAGUAAAUUACUGGAAGGGGCAGUCAGCAAUUCAAAUGAAGGCAAUGGGCAAUAAUGUGGUCACCUUUUGACUUGUAUCCUGCUUUGUUGAAGGUGUGAUGCAAUCCAAACAAAAAAACCAAGCAUUAGAAAUGGAGGCAGAUGAAAUAGAUGAAGUGAUCCAACUGGCAACACGCCGCAGGAAGACAGUGCCGGGUUUCCAGCUCUCACGCUGCCACGCAGUAAAAUAACCAAGUGGCUCCAGGCAUCUCUCCAGCCUGGGAUCUGCUCCUGCCCCAGGAUGGGUUUUUGGAGCAGCCUUUGAGUACGGCCGUCAUGUACAGCUGCAUGAGCAAGACAAGUCCACCCUGCAGUGAUCUGCCUGACGCCGCGGGGCCAGGGCGACGUGCUCGCGUGGCAGCAGCUCCACGGGGUAAGUCUGCCUGCAACCCUCAACCAAACACGCAAAGUGAUCAGUUCGUCUUGCUGAUAGGCAUAAUGUUCGACCGAAACAAGCAUUCAGAUGCAAGGCAGCUCUUUUCUAUCUCCCCAGCAUACAAACCCUGAAUUUGCAAGCAUUCAGCAAAAUUCUUCAAGUUCCUCUCUGGUUUAGCUGGGAACAGAAUUUUGCUGAUCAUGACAAAGGAUGAGCCGAGUCCCUAGACUUUGCUCUUGACUAAUCCUCUGUGACCCCCAGUAUGAAAAUUAAACUGAUGGCAGCGUACUGUGGGAAUCCCACCUGCAUCUGCCCCCCAGGGAAGAACGGAACAGCCAAAAAGGUCUUUUCCCUGUUCUAAUUUCAGUGAUUUUUUUGAUUCACUUUGCUCUGCUAUGAGAAGAAAAAGGAAAAGGCAAAGCACCUGGACAAAUUGUUUCUAGCCCUGGAUGCUAAUGAAAAGAAAAAUGUCAGAGUAGAUGAAAAUGAGGUCGUUCUUGCUGAAGGAGGGCAGCAGAUGAGAUCAGAGCAGAGCCGUCAGCUCUGUCUGGCCCUUCAUUAGCGCCACAAGAACACCCAGGCUAAUGGGAAAGGCCACAAGUGGCAUCACUUGACA